Molecule: non-coding RNA, 32 nt
Organism: Flavobacteriaceae bacterium TMED120
Lineage: Bacteria; Pseudomonadati; Bacteroidota; Flavobacteriia; Flavobacteriales; Flavobacteriaceae
Source: Rfam
AGUCAUCGAAGGAAAGACCUUAAUUCAUGACU